This is a long non-coding RNA of Octodon degus (degu), 174 nucleotides long. RefSeq lists it as uncharacterized. Lineage: Eukaryota; Metazoa; Chordata; Mammalia; Rodentia; Octodontidae. The transcript is spliced from 3 exons. The record is from RefSeq and is a predicted model, not a curated record.
GAUGUCCUUAACAUUAGCUUUUGUGGUUUAUUGGCUUAAAUACCCACUCCAUUUUGUAACCAGAAUGGGCAUUGUAUUAUACACUUCUGUACAUUUCCACUGUAACUUUAUUAAUGAGGAUUGUUUGGUAUAAGCUGACAACUUAAACUCCAUCUUGGUGGCUCAAGCCAUCCA